GAGGCAGCAGAGCCAGGUCUGGACCUGGGUGUUUGCUACCUCUCUGGCUUUGGUCUCCAUAUCAAUGGUAUGAAGGCGGCGGUUUCUCCCUCACCGUGUUACGCGGCGUGAAAGUGGAAGCUGUGUCGAAAGCACACGGUGAGCAUUCAGAUGGGGGCCAGAAUUCAUCUCAGCCGGCCUUCGUCGUCACUUCAACUGUGGGUAGUUAAGCAGCAUUACUUACUACGUCCCAUUCCACAGAUGAAGAAACAGAGAGGCUGUGUGUAUUGGUGACUUUCUAAAUGACACGUUGUGAACAGGGAUAGGACGGGACCCUGCUCCAACCGUGUGCCCACCAGGCCAUCCUUGUUGCCUCGUGCCUGAUAACGAAGCAGGGCUGGAAAAGCGCUGUCAACAAAUGACUUCUUUUCACCUUUAGGACAAACUUCUGCAUAUGUAGGCCUGGUGGCAUUCCUCUCACCUUACAGGUGAGAAAACUGAGUCAAGGGACACGCCUGAGGUCCCACCGCUGACAGCGAGAGGCCAGAACUGUAACUUUCCUUCAUUCAAACCUGGUACCCACAUGACUCAAGCGAGGGAAAGGUCAGGGCACCCCUGCCUCCCACUGGCCUUAGAGCAGCCACACCCAUGAUCCUGGAACCUUCUGGACUCUGAGAUGCAGCAGAUCAAAGGCCUCGUGAUAAAAGUGGAGACCUAGAGACAAAUCUCGGACUGCUGAAUUUCUCCACUCUCAUGGCAUUGCCCAUCAAGAGGGAUUGCAGUUCUGAACAUGAUGGAUCAGAUGCAAUAUGAGGUGCUUCAUGUCUGCAGGCCUGUCCCAGAAAUUCUCAUAUCCUGUAAGGACUGAAGCUUGAACUGAUAUGGAACCCAUGACUCAGUAGCAGUUGACUGCUAGCCCCUCCUGGGCUUCUACUCCUUUGUCCGUUGCAUCCCCUAAACUCAGCCCACCUGAUUACUUCAUAUCUGUUGGCGGAUUGACUCCCUCCCUCCAGACCACUUUCAAUAAGAAGAUCUUCCUUAUUUGGCUAGGAACAAACACCACGUGGCUUCCCUAUGACCUGUAUGCUGCCUUGAUCUUCUACCCUUGGAAGAAACAGAAGGAGUGAGAGAGUUAUGUCAGCCAGGACAGCAUUAACUUUAAUCCUACUUAAUUCCAGCUCCACGAUGAAAGCCUAACUUUGAGACUUGAUUGAGGUGAGUUUAGGUCAAAUAAGAGGAGGUUUCAUUCAGCCACAUCGUCAUUUAUUCAGCCAACAUUCACAGAGCCAGGCACAGAGCUUGGGGCUGGGAGUCAGAGGAACAAUACUUGGUCCCUGCCCUUGAGGGAGACAAACAGAAGCAAAUAGGAAAUAACUGCAACAUAGGCAAUGAAUUCUGAAGUGAAAGGAAGCAGGAACCCACGCUGGGGAGAGUCACUGAUGGACAGUUGUAACUUUUAGGGAGGGGACACAGAGGCAAGGAGAAGGCAGAAGAAACUGACUCGAGUUGGAUUUUAAAGGCUGAGUAAUAAACUCACAAAAGUAAAAUUAUGGGGCCGGGCGCAGUGGCUCAUGCAUGUAAUCCC
Molecule: long non-coding RNA, 1564 nt
Filed under: Homo sapiens (human)
Lineage: Eukaryota; Metazoa; Chordata; Mammalia; Primates; Hominidae
Description: HSALNT0365302
Source: RNAcentral